CACGUAGGCGGCAUGGUAAGUCAAAGGUGAAAGCCCUCGGCUCAACCGAGGAACUGCCUUUGAAACUGCUUUGCUUGAGUCCGGGAGGGGGGAGCGGAAUUCCCAGAGUAGCGGUGAAAUGCGUAGAUACUGGGAGGAACACCGGUGGCGAAGGCGGCUCCCUGGACCGGUACUGACGCUGAGGUGCGAAAGCGUGGGUAGCAAACA
Molecule: ribosomal RNA, 207 nt
Filed under: uncultured bacterium
Lineage: Bacteria
Description: partial 16S ribosomal RNA
Rfam family: Bacterial small subunit ribosomal RNA
Source: RNAcentral